UUUACUGUCAGUGCCUUUACUGUCAGAUAAUCAGUUUCUUUUAAUGUUUUUACGAAAUCGGUUAUUUAAGUGAAAAGCACAAGUUUGAAAUCUUAAUGAUGAUUGGGUACGGAGAUAGAACAAGAACUCAAAAUGAAGUUAUGCAUUUAUUUAGACAGAAGUGUCCUGAUUUACCACCCAUAUCUCAAAGUACUAUAAGCAAGAUUGAAAAACAGUUUCGGGAAAAUGGUCAAGUAAGAACAAUAACUAGUUCUUGUUGAUCUGCGCUUAAUGAAGACACCAAAAUUAAUGUGUUAUUAGCCAUUGAAGAAAAUCCUAAUAUUCGCACUAGGCAGAUAGUGCACGAAUUAAAAGUGAGCCAGUCUUCAGUAGUAAGGGUUCUUGAAGCAGAAAAAUUGCAUCCCUAUACACUAACAAUUCUCCAGGAACACAAUGAGGAUGAUGCAGAUAGAAUAAUUGAAGUUUGUGAACAAUUUAUGGAAUUAAUGCAGAAUAAUAAUCUUAUUACAGAAAACAUUCUCUUUUCCGAUGAGUCGACAUUUAUGCUGAACGGAGAAGUAAAUCGUCAAAAUUGCCGUUAUUGGGCACAAGAAAAUCCAUGUUGGAUGAGGCAAGGCCACACUCCACACCCAGAGAAAUUAAAAGGUUGGGCAGGAAUUCUAGGUCAGCAAGUUAUAGAUAGGCCCAAUUUUCUUUGACGAAAAUUUAAAUGGAGCAAGCAAUAUGGUGCGCCUCCCUGUUUUGCAAGACCUGUUCGAAACUAUCUGGAUACUAUUUUUCCAGGCAGAUGGAUUGGCAGAAGAGGACCUUUUGAAUGGCCACCAAGAUCGCACGAUUUGACGCCGCUGGAUUUUUUUCUAUGGGGAUAUUUGAAAACCAAAGUUUAUGUGACCAAGCCGGCAAAUAUUGAGGAGUUGAAAACUAGAAUAAGGCAAGAGUGUCUGAAACAUUUCUCCAGAAUGCAUAAGAAACGUUCAAAAUAAAUUUGUAGUACGUUUAGCGCAUUGCCAAAUAGUAAAUGGUUUACAUUUUGAACACUUAUUAAAGAAAAAGAUUUAAAAAAACCCUCUUUAAGUUUAUGAAAUACAUUUUUUUAAGGCCCUGUAUCUUACAAAUAAUCGAAUAAAGGUAUGGCAUAUGGUACAUCAAAA
Molecule: long non-coding RNA, 1151 nt
Filed under: Anthonomus grandis grandis
Lineage: Eukaryota; Metazoa; Arthropoda; Insecta; Coleoptera; Curculionidae
Description: uncharacterized LOC126735458
Source: RNAcentral